Molecule: ribosomal RNA, 658 nt
Filed under: uncultured Thermocrinis sp.
Lineage: Bacteria; Pseudomonadati; Aquificota; Aquificia; Aquificales; Aquificaceae
Description: bacterial SSU rRNA
Rfam family: Bacterial small subunit ribosomal RNA
Source: RNAcentral
UUAGAGUUUGAUCCUGGCUCAGGGCGAACGCUGGCGGCGUGCCUUAGACAUGCAAGUCGAGCGGUAGGCGUCCUUCGGGGCGCCGAGAGCGGCGAACGGCGGAGUAACACGUGGGUAACCUGCCCCGAAGACUGGGAUAACCCGGGGAAACUCGGGCUAAUACCGGAUGUGGAUGCCUUGGCUUCGGCGAAGGCAUCUAAACGGGUUUCCGCUUCGGGAUGGGCCCGCGGCCUAUCAGGUUGUUGGUGAGGUAACGGCUCACCAAGCCGACGACGGGUAGCCGGUCUGAGAGGAUGAUCGGCCCGAGGGGCACUGAGACACGGCCCACACCCCUACGGGGGGCAGCAGUGGGGAAUCGUGGGCAAUGGGCGAAAGCCUGACCCCGCGACGCCGCGUGGAGGAAGAAGCCCUUCGGGGUGUAAACUCCUGUCGGGGGGGACGAUGUGCCUUGGGAUGAAUAAUUCCAGGGCAUGACGGUACCCCCAGAGGAAGGGACGGCUAACUACGUGCCAGCAGCCGCGGUAAUACGUAGGUCCCGAGCGUUGCGCGAAUUCACUGGGCGUAAAGCGUCCGCAGCCGGACGGGUAAGCGGUGCGUCAAAGCCCACCGCUCAACGGUGGAACGGCGUACCGAACUGCCUGUCUUGAGGCACGCUUAG